This 1492-nucleotide long non-coding RNA is filed under the name Papio anubis (olive baboon). RNAcentral describes it as "lncRNA (ENSPANG00000043870.1)". The record is from RNAcentral. Lineage: Eukaryota; Metazoa; Chordata; Mammalia; Primates; Cercopithecidae.
GAGCACCAGCUGCAUGAAACAAAAGGAAGGGUGCAAUGUCCCUCUAGAAAUAGCCUGUCCCAGCAGCCAGGGCACCGGCUGAAGUGUUGAUUUUCCAAGGUGCAGUAUGAGAACAAAUGGACCUGAUCCAAAAAUAUGAGUGAAUCUCGUCCUUCCAGUCACAGUGACCAUGAUACCCGGUGGUGCAGAGCUCUACUCCCUGGCUUUGGGUCCCAGCUCCCCUUUCCUGGUCCCAGGACCUUGAACAACUUGGUUGACCCCUCUGGCCUCCGUGUUCUCCUCCCUUAUGUGGAAAUGUUGCUGAUAAUGGCACCUCUGUUGUGCCUGACUCCAAGCGUUGAGGGUCAAGUGCUCAGACCUCCCUAUCUUCCAGCGUCAACAACUGCGUGCAGUGGUAAACAAACAUUCCACAUUGCACUACUUCUGCACACUUCCUAAGGAGUAGCCAUAAUUCAAAAUAACAGAGUAACAGAAAGAGAUGAACUGGUUAACCAACCCCUUCCAGGCGAGUUUUUCCAAGAUUCCCAACAGCUCAGCUGUCACUCCAAGGACCAGCAGCUGUGAGGUUAAAGACUGCACGCCAGGUGCUGGGGUCACCUAGGUACUCCCUGGGGCUGCGGCUUCUUGAGGCUGCACCAUCUCCACCUGGGGGUUGGCAGAAAGGUCCCAAAGAUCUCUCUGGGAGGAUUAUGGGGAUGCGAGCUCAGUGGGAGGUCCACCUGCCAGAGGAGCUGGCAGUCCUGAGGCCGUGGUGGGGGAGAUGAGCUGGGAGCUCACAGAAGCAGUGACGGCAGAAGCCUGGUCCAAAAGUGAGAACUUUCCCUGGUGACCCAAGCUCGCAGGCCUUCAUCUAUGAAACAAAGGGCUUGACUGUAUCUGCAUGGCCAACACUGAUCUUCAGAACAGCAGCGUGGCAAAGAUGGCAAUAAACAGUCCCAACAAAUAUGCGCAAGUCAGUUUAGAAGACGAUGUAUCGUGCAAAGUGAAAGCAGCGCAGGUUCCUCAGCAUCUUCACUGGCCCAGUGUGGAUGCUGGCUCUGGUGGGAGGGGAGCAGUAGACACAACCUUUCCCAGGUGUGUUGAGCCAAAGACCCCAUUUGCCCACAGGAUACCUGCUAGGAGCUCAUGGACAAGUGGUCCUCGGAGCACAUUUUGGAAACACUCAGGAAAAAAAUGUACAGCUGCAUUACCGAUCAAAAAAUACAAAUAUAUACAUGUAUAUUUGUAUAUACAUGUAUAUAUACAGCGCGGACCCUUGAACAACACGGAUUUGAACUGCGCAGGUGCACUCGUAUGCAGAUUGUCUUGCACUCUGCCACCCCUGAGACCCCUGAGAAAGCAGGACCAACCCCUCCUCCUCCUCAGCCUACUCAACGUGAAGAUGAAGAUCUUUCUGACAAUUUACUUGCACUUAAUGAAUGAUAAAUAUAUCAAAUAUAUUUUCUCUUCCUUAUGGUUUUCUUUUUUUCUUUAUAAUUUUCUUGAGACAUAG